Molecule: long non-coding RNA, 464 nt
Filed under: Nicotiana benthamiana
Lineage: Eukaryota; Viridiplantae; Streptophyta; Magnoliopsida; Solanales; Solanaceae
Description: long non-coding RNA (NBEN_LNC016583)
Source: RNAcentral
AAGAAGACCUACGUCAACGUGUAAAAAUAUUAUAUCACUAAUUUUUAAGCCCGGGGACCAAGGGAAUUGAUCCCCACAAUUACUGGAAUUAAAAAUAACUAACAAAAAAUUUCAGAAUUUUAGAAAAACAGCAAAAACACCAUCUAAACGACCCCGAAAGCCCAAAAAACGGCUUCAGUCAUGAGAAAUCCAUGUUUAUUGCUCACUGGGCCGUUUCGCAAGGACCUGCCAAAUUUCAGGUCAAUCGAAGUUUGUCAACUUUUUGACCUCCGAUUUUCUACCCUAAUUCGGCAAAACUUGUUUUCCCGUUUUACAUGAUAAAAAUCGACUUUCAGAUUAUUCUAACGCAAAAUCACCAAUAUUAAAAGGAUACGUCAAGUUUUUAGAAUAAUCUAUAUUACCCAUAACAGAUAAUCACACCAAAAACAGUGCAGGUUCUCCGAAAAACAAACUUUGCAUGUAAU